GUUGUGCCCUUGAGGCGUGGCUUCCGGAGCUAACGCGUUAAGUAGACCGCCUGGGGAGUACGGCCGCAAGGUUAAAACUCAAAUGAAUUGACGGGGGCCCGCACAAGCGGUGGAGCAUGUGGUUUAAUUCGAUGCAACGCGAAGAACCUUACCUGGUCUUGACAUCCACAGAACUUUCCAGAGAUGGAUUGGUGCCUUCGGGAACUGUGAGACAGGUGCUGCAUGGCUGUCGUCAGCUCGUGUUGUGAAAUGUUGGGUUAAGUCCCGCAACGAGCGCAACCCUUAUCCUUUGUUGCCAGCGGUCCGGCCGGGAACUCAAAGGAGACUGCCAGUGAUAAACUGGAGGAAGGUGGGGAUGACGUCAAGUCAUCAUGGCCCUUACGACCAGGGCUACACACGUGCUACAAUGGCGCAUACAAAGAGAAGCGACCUCGCGAGAGCAAGCGGACCUCAUAAAGUGCGUCGUAGUCCGGAUUGGAGUCUGCAACUCGACUCCAUGAAGUCGGAAUCGCUAGUAAUCGUGGAUCAGAAUGCCACGGUGAAUACGUUCCCGGGCCUUGUACACACCGCCCGUCACACCAUGGGAGUGGGUUGCAAAAGAAGUAGGUAGCUUAACCUUCGGGAGGGCGCUUACCACUUUGUGAUUCAUGACUGGGGUGAAGUCGUAACAAGGUAACCGUAGGGGAACCUGC
RNAcentral lists this ribosomal RNA (692 nucleotides) under Salmonella enterica. Its description in RNAcentral is "bacterial SSU rRNA". It matches the Rfam family "Bacterial small subunit ribosomal RNA", at positions 823 to 1515 of the family's 1533-position model. Lineage: Bacteria; Pseudomonadati; Pseudomonadota; Gammaproteobacteria; Enterobacterales; Enterobacteriaceae. The record is from RNAcentral. RNAcentral also lists the same sequence under 1 other name.